GAAGACAACAUAUUUAUUAUUUUUCUUCAGAAUACUUGCUGUUGUUUUGUGUUGAGAGAACCUGAAGUAUGGGAUAAUGCCUUCAGGCUUUAAAAGCACAAUGCGGUAACUAAUACUGUUAUGUUAUGGCAAGUUUGGGGCCAAGUGAUUUCUGAGAGAGACCAGACUAAGUAGGAUUAUUGCUAUGGAUAUUAAGACAGGGAAGAGGAAAGCCAUGUAUGCAGUCUUGAGCUCAUGGGAAGAAAGAACUGAGAAGAGUGACAAUUAAUCAGUGAUCUGAGAACAGCCCCCAUCAGCAGUGAAGAAGAUCAGCCUGAAAAGAGACUUGAUGUGAAAAUGAACCUAGUUCUGCAAUCAAAGUUUGUAAUAAAAUGCG
Molecule: non-coding RNA, 376 nt
Organism: Pogona vitticeps (central bearded dragon)
Lineage: Eukaryota; Metazoa; Chordata; Lepidosauria; Squamata; Agamidae
Source: RefSeq, a predicted model, not a curated record